CUUGCUUAGCCUGGGAGGGGAACAGAAUAUUUGAGUUACCUUCUUCAUCCAGUGACAUACUGAUAUGUCACAUACAUAUCAGUAAGUGACCUUGGCUUAGGUUUUACCAGGGUUUUUUCUUUUCUUUUCUUUCUUUUUUUUUUUAUAACAGAUGUGAGACAAAAUAGCUUAUGGUGCUAAGCCUUGAAUUUGCUCAGAAAAUGAAAAACAAAAAUAAAGCCCUCGCGGCUAAGUUGCUUUAGAAAAUUGCCAAUAGAAAGAAAUGUUCAUGCUUUUCUACAUGAGCAGAGAAAUGUCCUGCCCUGUGACACUCCCUGGCAAAGUCACUCCAUCUCUAUGGAAUAUGCCUUGCCUGGCCUCUGAGGCUGUGGAAGCGGCCAGCGGUACCCAGCCCUCUUAUCCAGGCUGUACUCAAGACAGAAAAUCACAAGAGUCAACCUCAGGGAUUUCAUCUUCUACUUGGAACAGGAAAGAAAAACAAGCCACUAUCUUCUGCUCUAUCAAGCCUUGCUUAAAUAAAGCCAAUCAUUUCCCUGGCUUCCUCAGAGGGAAGCUCAGAUGAACAUUUAAAAUCUGUCAUUUUCAUGUGCCUUCUCUUUUUGUUUUCUCAGAUGUCAGGCUUUGGUUUAUGUAAAAAUUAAGAUGCAAUAAAUCCUCCCAGCCAGAAACGAAAGCA
RNAcentral lists this long non-coding RNA (676 nucleotides) under Phascolarctos cinereus (koala). RNAcentral describes it as "lncRNA (ENSPCIG00000023614.2)". The record is from RNAcentral. Lineage: Eukaryota; Metazoa; Chordata; Mammalia; Diprotodontia; Phascolarctidae.